RNAcentral lists this ribosomal RNA (948 nucleotides) under Triticum aestivum (bread wheat). RNAcentral describes it as "partial small subunit ribosomal RNA". Lineage: Eukaryota; Viridiplantae; Streptophyta; Magnoliopsida; Poales; Poaceae. The record is from RNAcentral.
AUGCAUUCGCCACCCGCGUCCAUCUUCCGGUUCUCGUCCACUCUCCGCGCCGCCACCAUCGCCCAGUGCCAUAUCCCUGACAAUGCUGUCGAAAUGCUUCGAUUUCCGCAGCUCCAGAAACUUGAACUUGUGGAGGCCAAAAUCUCAGAGGGCUCGCUGGCCAGCCUUAUCACCUCCGGCUGCCCUGCACUGGAAAGCUUGCUGCUUAAAACUUGUGGAAGUUUCCAUAUCCGUGGUCUCAGGAUCAACUCCCCUACCCUUAAAUUUAUAGGUGUUUUUUCCAUGUUUGUAGAACUCAUCAUUGAGGAUGCUCCUUCACUUGAAAGGUUGCUCCAUAUUAUACUUCAUGUGAAAAUGCGACUGACAGUAAUCUCCGCACCUAAAUUGGAGAUGUUGGGUUAUAUUUCUGAAUAUGCAGACUCCAAAAUGACGUUUGGCUCCACAUCUAUUCAGGAUUUGCGCAUUGAUAGUCUGACAACUGUGGUGCGUACUAUCAAGACCCUAGCUAUCCAUUCGAAUUUUAAUCUCCAUAUGGUUAUUGACUUGAUGAGAUGCUUUCCAUGCUUGGAGAAUUUGUAUAUGAAGAUUCCGAAAUCUACAGCAGGGGUAGCAAACUCGUGGCGUCGUAAACACCGGGAUUUUCUCACAUCUCAUGAUAUUCGCUUGAAGACGAUAUUUCUGGGAUAUUAUCAAGGCAUCCGGGCACAUGUCGACUUUGUCACAUUCUUUGUACUGAAUGCAAAAGCGCUAGAGUCCAUCAGACUCGAGGUUGGUUCCAGGGAUUACAAUGAGAGGUACUUCGCAGAACAACAUAGUGUGCUUCAGAUGGAGAAGAGGGAUUCUAGAGGUGCUCGACUUUGCUUCAAAACACCUUGUGACUAUGAUGCUCCACAUGUCAUGCAUGUCGGUGAUUUAGAUUCACCCGAUCCCUUCGCAUGUGGAUGUUGA